Molecule: ribosomal RNA, 258 nt
Filed under: uncultured bacterium
Lineage: Bacteria
Description: partial 16S ribosomal RNA
Rfam family: Bacterial small subunit ribosomal RNA
Source: RNAcentral
UACGUAGGGUGCAAGCGUUAAUCGGAAUUACUGGGCGUAAAGCGUGCGCAGGCGGUUUUGUAAGUUCUGAUGUGAAAUCCCCGGGCUCAACCUGGGAAUUGCAUUGGAGACUGCAAGGCUAGAAUCUGGCAGAGGGGGGGUAAGAAUUCCACGUGUGAGCAGUGAAAAUGCGUAGAGAUGUGGAGGAACACCGAUGGCGAAGGCAGCCCCCUGGGUCAAGAUUGACGCUCAUGCACGAAAGCGUGGGGAGCAAACAGG